RNAcentral lists this ribosomal RNA (492 nucleotides) under uncultured bacterium. RNAcentral's name for it is "partial 16S ribosomal RNA". It matches the Rfam family "Bacterial small subunit ribosomal RNA", at positions 29 to 507 of the family's 1533-position model. The record is from RNAcentral.
AGUGAACGCUGGCGGUAGGCCUAACACAUGCAAGUCGAACGGCAGCACAGUAAGAGCUUGCUCUUACGGGUGGCGAGUGGCGGACGGGUGAGGAAUACAUCGGAAUCUACUUUUUCGUGGGGGAUAACGUAGGGAAACUUACGCUAAUACCGCAUACGACCUACGGGUGAAAGCAGGGGAUCUUCGGACCUUGCGCGAUUGAAUGAGCCGAUGUCGGAUUAGCUAGUUGGCGGGGUAAAGGCCCACCAAGGCGACGAUCCGUAGCUGGUCUGAGAGGAUGAGCAGCCACACUGGAACUGAGACACGGUCCAGACUCCUACGGUAGGCAGCGGUGGGGAGUAUUGGACAAUGGGCGCAAGCCUAGUCCAGCCAUACCGCGUGGGUGAAGAAGGCCUUCGGGUUGUAAAGCCCUUUUGUUGGGAAAGAAAAGCAGCAUGUUAAUACCCCGCUGUUCUGACGGUACCCAAAGAAUAAGCACCGGCUAACUUCGUG